Molecule: long non-coding RNA, 28339 nt
Filed under: Citrus x clementina
Lineage: Eukaryota; Viridiplantae; Streptophyta; Magnoliopsida; Sapindales; Rutaceae
Description: Citrus clementina (C. clementina) long non-coding RNA (CCLE_LNC003519)
Source: RNAcentral
UGCCAUCAUCCUGGUCGGCAUUUUACAAGUACAUGGCUGAGAGCAAUCAGUCGGCAUUUUACAAGUACCUGGCUGAGAGCAAUCGUUCAGGAAUGUCGACAUCCUCGGCAGCGGAAAACUAAAGGAGUUGAGUGAGCUCUGCUCGAUUGGUUUUUGUAGUUUCUUUUUUUUUUUUCCUCAAGUGAUCUGGCAUGUAUCAAUUAGUUUGUAAAGUUAUUGUAUUGUCUCAAGUCCGGUAAGAUGCGCGAACGUAUAGCAUGGAUCACAAACUCAUUUCAUAGAUUAUUUUUUUGUAUAAUUAUAUAAUUUAUAGGCUUUGCUUAAAAAAUUAAAAAAGAAAAAAAGAAUUGUAUUACAAUUGGUAUGAGGCAUGCUUGUGUGUGUCAUAUCAGUUGCUGAACAAACUUUGCCUUUUAGUUUUGUAGGCACUACCAUCUCAAAUUCUUUGUUAUCAUGAAUGAGUAUUUUUUUUCUUUUUUUUCUUUUUUAACAAAUCAUAAAUGAGAUUAAGAUAAUCUUUUUUUAAAAAAGAAAAAAAAUGGAGAUUUCUUUUAUUUUUCCUUAAAAAACUGAAGACAAAUUUAGAAGGAAGUGAGAGACGGAGAAUUAAAGCAAUUUUAUUCACAAAUGUAAUGUAUUUGGUGCAGCAAUACAAACUAAUAAAUUAUAAUUUAUGAGACUAGUUUACAGAAUCUUAUAUAUAAAAUUAUAUCCUCUGAAUAAAAAUCUUCUCACCUCUUUUGACUUCUCAUCUAAUUUACAGAAUCUUAUAUAUAUAACACAUUUUUAUAAAACAAAACAGAAAAAAAAAUUAUAUAUAAUUGUCACAAGGACUAUUUCAUUUGCACAUAGUACGCAAUUGGUCACUAAAGUUAUUUGAGGAGAAAAUUUACAUGAGAUGGGUACAUCAUAUUAUCAGUAUUUUAGUUUAAAUUUGAACAUACUAGAAUGGUCUCUCAUAAAUUUUUCUCCAAUUUGAGAGAUGGUGGGGGAGUGGGGUUAAAGUGCAUCUACAUAGAAUAGAAUUAAUUAUAAUUAAAUUUACUUUUUAAAACUAUUUUAACUAGAAGUAGUAGUAAUUCUUUUUAUUAUUGUUAUUCCAAUUAUAUCAAAAUCUCGUGACUCGUGAUCAAAUUAAGUGCUUCAUUAAAUUGUUUUAGGUGACGUACGGUAUGGAGUUGUUAUAAAUCUAUAUAGAUAGUAAAAUAUUUAAUUUUGCUUGUCGUAAACUUUUAAUUUGCAUGGGUUAAAAAAGAAAAAAAGAAAAAAGAAAUUGACUUAUUAAUUAAUUAACAAUUAUAGAAAGACUAAAUAGAAAAUUAUUGAAGUUGCGUGAGAAAGCUCUCGGGAAAAGGGGCUCCAGAUUUCCUUUCCCUGGCUUCGUGCGUUUCCUGUUUGCCCUUUCGAGCACGACAUUCGAAUCCAAUACUUAAUAAUAAAGAUAUAAUAUUAUUAUAAUACUAAUAAUUAACAUUAAAAUAUUAAAAAUAGGGAAAAAAAAAUCCAAAUUUUUACUGGUAUGUAACGCAGGGCCAAAACGAUAGCGAAACAUCAAAUUGUUUUUAUUUCAACCUUCGCGCAACUUCCGGUGACAUAAUUUUUCUCUGUUUCAGGUACAUACAUACCCAAAACUAGACUUUGCAUGUAUCAUUCUUGUAUUUUUGUAAUUCAUUCACAUAUUCUUCUUUUCUUUUCUUUUUCUUUUCUUUUUUGCUGUAUUUUUUUUAUGAAACACUCUGUUUCAGUUCUGUUUCUGGUUUUGUUUCAGUUUGAUAUUAUUGGUUCCGUUCGGUUCUACUCUGUUCUCUGUUGUAUGUAUAUAUGUAUGUAUUUUUGGCCUUGAAUUGCUUUGAUCACCGGUUUUGUUAUUCUUUUAUCGUGAAUUUUAGACACCCGUUAAACUUGUUUGGCCAUGUAUUCACUUGAUUGUUACAUUCAGCUGCCAUCUUCAUGGUGGGUUUGUAAGAUAGUCUCUGACUAACAUAUGGCAUUGAUUAUGAAUGAUGGUUUUGUGAGAUACAUCAUACAGACGUUAACUUGUAUUAACAUGUACUUCCUUUAUUUAAAAGAUUAUUGUUUUUCUGGCUUUUUUUUUUUUGUUUGAAAUGCCCCUUUUUGCAUUUUAUAGGUGAAAGGAAAAAAACAUAAUAUCGCAGCACUAGAACAAAGGAGCCUAUUCUGGUACCUAUUGUCCAAGGAAGCUUCUGUAUAUUCGGUAGGCACUACCAUGGAAGUGAAAUCUUACCAGAGCCAGGUGGAGUCAUUGCUGAAGGAAUAUAUAUUAGCAGAUCCAUUUAUCCCGUACACUUCAAUUGUUGGUAGCAUUUUUGCUUGCAAGAUGGUAUGUUUUUCAUCGUUACUGCAUGGUGGUAUUUACUAGAAAAUAUUUUGAAUGCAUAGUUUUUAUUUAAUUAGUUAUAAAUUUUUAUACCCUUUUUUUCAUAAGAAUGCGUUCCUUUUCAGGUGUAUGAUCUUGCCCAAUUGAUUAGUGCUGUUCACUUUAAAAGUUAUUCCAGUUUCUCUAACGUACAGCGGGUUGAGUGGAGUAACAGGUGAUUGAAUAUUUUCAUUUAGUUCAAUUGACAUUUCUUUUUCAAUCGGUAAAGUUUAAUCAUUUCUCUUAAAUUGACAACUUAAGCAGGGCCAUAGCAACCGUCCAUGCCAUUUUUAUUACAGCUAUGUCUUUGUACUUCGUGUUUUGGUCGGAUCUCUUUUCGGACAACCAACUUGCUAGCCUUAUUACAUUCCGUAGCUCUUUUCUGUCUACAUUCACAUUGGGGGUGAGUUCACCAUUUCCUGUUAGUUUUUAGUUAAAUUACAAAUUUUACCAGGUUUUAAGUUCUGGCAUUCCCAUCUGUUAUCUUGCCCUGAGAAUAUAUAUAGGAUAUUGUCUUAUUGAAGCCUGAAUCUUCCCAGUAGUGGAAAGUAUAAAUAACAAUUUGAAAUUAUUUUAGCCAUCAAUGUAACAGCUGGCAAAUUUCUUCUAGCUUGUUUCUUAAAUCUAAGGUUAAUUUUCCCGUGGUGACAGACAAACCAGUCAUGGUUUAUCUAGAUAUUUUAAUACAUGAUUUCAGUAUCAGGUAAAGAAGGAAUCCGUAUCUAUUUCUUUCCAGUUGGUGUUGAUAAAAAGGAAAAGUCAUAGUACUCUCCUUUUCAUUCCUUGUGAUUCCAUUUUACUUAGUAAUAUGAUUAGAAAUGAGUGGAAAUAGGUUGUGGAGGGCUGCAUUAUUAUGGCUUCUUUCAAUAGAACACUAAAUAUUCCCUAUUCAAGGGAAACUUUUUGCAAGGGAAAUUUUCUAAAGGAUAAUAAACUUUUUUUCUUUUCAAAAGAGAAAGGGUAAUUAUUAGUACAUUGAUAUCUCAACAAAAUGGUAGAACCUUUCUUUAUACCACUAAGACAUUUGUCGCAGGUAUGCCUACAUAAUCAGUGUCCUUCAAAACUUUCAAGGAGUUAGCAAUGCCGAACCCCUGAAACACUAAGGUGGCGUUUGUUUUUUAACUUAAUGACUUAAAGUGAAUUAACUUAAUUAAUUAAGUUAAUUAGAGGUGUUUGUUUUUAUAACUUAAUGAGACUUUUUAGAUGAUUUUGACUUAAGAAAAUAAGCCAAUUUUUUUAGCUUUUUACUUAAUGGAGAAAUCUGAAUUAAGUCAAUUACUUGCUAAUGUCAAAACUAUCCAUGUUUUAUAAUUUAUUUUUCAUGUCUAUCCCAAAAUUCACCCAUAGACAUUUAUCCCACAUAAAAAUAUCCAUAUUUUUUAUUUCUUAUAUUAUAUACGAUAAAAUUUAAAAUUUAUGGUAUUUUAUAUAUUAAAAUUUCAAAAUAAUUAUGUAUUCACUUGAAUAUAGUUUUACUUAUAAAUGUUAAAAUAUUGUGGUAUUUAAUAUAUUAUUUAUUUGGCAUUCAAAUUUAAUAAGGAUACAAAUGUAAAAGUACAUAUUUUCAACUUUUUAAGUUGAAAAAAACAAACAACUUAAUACUUAUUUUCCGAGAUUCAGACGAAAAAAACAAACAUAUUAUUCAGAUUCAGACAUUCAGAUCUAUUAAAAAUUCAGUCUAAUUUAAGUCUAUUUAGAUUUUAGAUAAAAAAACAAACGCCACCUAAAUCUCAUAGGAUCAACUCUUUACCUCUAGACCGAAGGUGUGACACCCAGACCCAAUUAGGGCUUAGAAAACAUAUCGAAUCUGAGUGAAACUAAAUGCCUGUAAAUCCAAAUCUCCAAAAUAUCAAAAAGUCAUCUAAUUUCUCUUUUCAUGUAUUUCACAAAAUUUUGAAAAAUUCAUUCUCAAUCAUAAACUAUGCACAACUAAUUAUUCAGCAUAUCAGCAUAGAGCAAUACUUCCUCAUAAGCAAAUAAAUCUUACAAUCCUUCUUCCAUGAUUUAAAAAAAAUACUAAUAGAAGUCUUCUAGAUACAAACAUAAACAUAAUUCAACUGUUUAAAACUAUGCCAAAACACAAGCUUCAAUCAGUAAUACAUACGACUAAUUAUUAAAAACAUCUAGGCAGAAACCUUACGAAAGCUCAAUCCUUCCGAAGCAUUCUUCAAAUUAAUAAUUGCAACCAUCUGUGAAAAAUAAUUGACAAGGAGUCAGCUGUGAAUUCAAUCAGUAGAAACAUUCGUAACGAACAAAAAGAAUUCUUUGUGCAAUAUUUUCAGAAAAUUCAUUUAACCUUUCAAAUGAAACAGAGUAAUUUUUCUAACGCAUCAGGAUUUAUAUAAAACACAAACGUUUCAGACAGAAGCUGUGUGGAAUGUAAAUUUUGCUUCUUUAAACAGAAAGUUAUAUAUUAGUUUGAUUUUAAAGGGAGGUUAUUGGGAAGUUAAAAUUGGCAGUUGUGGGAAAAGGGUAAUAGCAGUUAUAAAAUCUGUUUUAAAGCAAAUUCAAAUCAAGUUUCAAAUUUUAGGAGUACUUAAUUCAAUAAAAUAAGGAAUAAAUAAAGCUUUCAUUGAAACAAAACUAAGUAAAUUCAUUUAAAGCAAAACAGGAUGCGAGCAUUACAUAAGGGUUCUUGGCCAUACCAUGGUUACCCGCAGUCAGACAUCUGGGACCUUGUUAUUUGGAGACAAGACUUGAUUGUGCCAUGUUUUCCGCAGCUAGACACCUAUGGAUAAGAGAAGCCUAAGCCUAUUGAGAAUAAAUUCUGUAAUCCAAGACUCUUCAGUUCUUUCAUUUGUGGCUAAUUAGUUAUAAAAUUUGUGAAUUACAUGCCCCAUGCCCCUUGCAAAAUGUUGUUUAUAUCCUUAAGAUGCCCGUGGAUGAACUGAAAUAAUAAAAUAUAGAAGACAGACUUAAUGCCGAUAGCAUUUCUUAAGAAAAACUUGGGAUGUUUAUAAUUUUCUUAGAGCAUUUGCUGAACUUUCUGUGAUUGCAGUCGAGACGGGUGACCGCUACUUCCCUCAUUGCUCACAAGUGGUUAAUGACUUUUUGGAUGCUUCCCUCCUAGAAAAGAGUACUCUUGAAGAGCAGAAACUUAAAGUAGACAUGCAAGAGGCACUCCCCAAGGACGUGGCUUAUCACCGUCGUUCAGGGCUGCCAUCAUCCUGGUCGGCAUUUUACAAGUACAUGGCUGAGAGCAAUCAGUCGGCAUUUUACAAGUACCUGGCUGAGAGCAAUCGUUCAGGAAGAUAUUUGACAUUUGGAAAACUAAAGGAGUUGAGUGAGCUCGAUUGGUAUUUGUAGUUUCUUUUUUUUUUUUUUGCCUCAAGUGAUCUGGCAUGUAUCAAUUAGUUUGUAAAGUUAUUGUAUUGUCUCAAGUCCGGUGAGAUGCGCGAACGUAUAGCAUGGAUCACAAACUCAUUUCAUAGAAUAUUUUUGUGUAUAAUUAUAUAAUUUAUAGGCUAUGCUUAAAAAAUUAGAAAAAGGGAAUUGUAUUGCAGUUGGUAUGAGGCAUGCAUGCGUAUGUCAUAUCAGUUGCUGAACAAACUUUGCCUUUUAAUUUUGUAGGCAUUACUAUCUCAAAUUUUCUAUUAUCAUAAAUGAGUUUUUUUUUUUUUUAACAAAUCAUAAACGAGAUUAAGAUAAUCUUUUUUAAAAAAAAAAGAAGACAAAUUUAGAAAGUAGUGAGAGAUGGAGAAAUAAAGUAAUUAUAUUCAUAAAUAUAAUGUUUUUGGUGCAGCGACACAAACUAAUAAAUUAUAGUUUAUGAGAUUAGUUUACAAAAUCUUACACUCUCUAGACUUCUCAUUUAGGUGCCUUUUCUGGAACCUCUCCAGCCAUAAACACAUUUUUAUUAAACAAAACAGAAAAAAAAAAUUAUAUAUAGCUGUUCAUAAGGACUAUUUCUUUUGUACAGAAUACACAAUUGGCCACUAAAAUUAGUUGAGGAGAAAAUUUACACGAGAUGAGUACAUUACAUUAUCAGUAUUUUUGUCUAAUUUGAACGCACGUUUGUUUUAGGAAUCUUACUAGAAUGGUCUCUCAUAAAUUUUUCUCCAAUUUGAGAGAGAGUGGGGACUAGGUUAAAGUGCAUAUACGUAGAAUUAAUUAAAAUUAAAUUUAUUUUUUAAAACUAUUUUAACUAGAAGUAGUAGCAAUUCUUUUUAUUAUUGUUAUUCCAAUUAUAUCAAAAUCUCGUGACUCGUGAUCAAAUUAAGUAGUUCAUUAAAUUUUUUUAGGUGACGUACGGUAUGGAGUUUUUAUAAAGCUAUAUAAAUAGCAAAAUAUUUAAUUUUGUUUGUCGUAAACUUUUAAUUUGCCUGGGUUAAAAAAAAGAAAAAAAAAUGAAAAAAGAAAUUGACUUAUGAAUUAAUUAACAAUUAUAGAAAGAAUAAAUAGAAAACUAUAGUUGCGUGAGAAAACUCUCGCGAAAAGGGGCUCCAGAUUUCCUUUCCCUGGCUUCGUGCGUUUCCUGUUUGCCCUUUCGAGCACGAAUUCGAAUCCAAUACUUAAUAAUAAGGAUAUAAUAUUAUUAUAAUACUAAUAAUUAACAUUAAAAUAUUAAAAAUAAGGAAAAAAAAUCCAAAUUUUUAGUGGUAUAUAAGAUAACGCAGGGCCAAAGCGAUAGCGAAACAUCAAAUUGUUUUUAUUUCAACCUUCGCGCAACUUCCGGUGACAUAAUUUUUCUCUGUUUCAGGUACAUACAUACCCAAAACUAAACUUUGCAUGUAUCAAUCUUGUAUUUUUGUUAUUCAUUCACACAUCCUUCUUUUCUUUCUUUUCUCUUUUGCUGUAAUUUUUUAUGAAACACUCUUCUGUUUCAGUUCUGUUUCUGGUUUUGUUUCAGUUUAAUAUUAUUGGUUCCGUUCGGGUCUGUUCUGCUCUGUUCUCUGUUGUAUGUAUAUGUGUAUAUGUUUUUGGCCUCGAAUUGCUUUGAUCACCGGUUUUGUUAUUCAUUUAUCGUGAAUUUUAGAUACCCGUUAAACUUGUUUGGCCAUGUAUUCACUUGAUUGUUACAUUCAGCUGCCAUUUUCAUGGUGGGUUUGUAAGAUAGUCUCUGACUAGCAUACGGCAUUGAUUAUGAAUGAUGGUUUUGUGAGAUACAUCAUACAGACGUUAACUUGUAUUAACAUUGUUGUGCGCGGAAUGCGGAAUCAAGCGCACCAAAUAAUUAUAGAAAAAUAAAAGACACAAGAAUUACAUGGUUCAGUAAUUAAACCUACAUCCACGGAGGCAAGAAAGAAUAAUUGUAUUAUUAACAAUUAAUAGAGUAUAAAUAUUUGAGUAACGAAUCUCACUUCCCAGAAACUCAAAUAUACCCAGUACUCUCACACUCUGCAGGAAAGAUAAAUUCCCCAGACACACUUCUCUCACUUCUCUCACUUCUCUCAAAAGCUUAAAAACUUAUAAGCUUAACAAUUUUGGGAUGAUAUGGAAUGAAGAAAUGUUCUCUAUUUAUAGGCUUGAAGCUAGUACUAUUCCACCUAACCCAAUCACUAUUCCACCUAACCCAUGCAAAUAUGUCAAUGGUGUCCAUUUGGCAAAUUUGACAAAUUUGCCAACUUUUCAUUUUUUCUUCAAUUGUUUGGUAGCUCUUUGAAAAAUUGCAUGCUUUCUUGAAUUUGCAUGCCACGUGCAUGAUUUUUCAACAAUUCUCCACCUCGGCGAAAAUUUGUCCAAAUCUAAGCCGACUACCAAUGAACCAUCAUCCCUAAGGUGGCUGCAUCUCUGUGACUGCUUACGUACCCAAAAUUUGGGAUCAAGCCAACUGUAGUUCAAAAUUCCCGAAGGACAUAUCUUAACACAAGCGAAGGAUUUGAAUUAGUUUCAAGCAAUGUUGAAACUUAACUCCAGAAACUACCUUCGUCAACAUAUCUUAUGGAUUAUCUUUUGUAUCGAUCUUCUUCAACAACACAUCACCACCUUCGAUAAUCUCCCUCACAUAAUGAUAUUUCACAUCUAUGUGCUUCGUCCGAGCGUGAUAUGUUUGAUUCUUCGCUAGGAAUAUCGCACUUUGGUUAUCACAAAAGACCACAAUGUUUUCUUGGAUUACUCUCAAAUCACCUAACAAGCCUUUCAACCAGAUAGCUUCUUUUACAGCUUCAGUUGCUGCCAUAUACUCUGCUUCCGUAGUGGACAAAGCAAUUGUCGAUUGUAGAAUCGACCUCCAGCUAAUCGAUCCUCCACCCAAUGUGAAUACGUAGCCCAUUGUUGAUCUUCGCUUGUCAAGGUCUCCAGCGAAAUCAGAAUCACAAUACCCAACACAUUGUUGACCACAAUCCUUCUUGAACAAUAACCCAACAUCAAUUGUCCCAUACAGAUAUUGGAGAAUCCACUUUACCGCAAGCCAGUGAUUUUUACCCGGAUUGUGCAUGUAUCUACUAACCAUGCUCACUGCUUGAGAUAUAUCGGGCCUUGUGCAUACCAUAGCAUACAUAAGACUACCCACAACACUAGCAUAUGGAACACGAGCCAUGUAAUCGCACUCCUCUUGAGAUCUAGGACAUGAAGAAGAGCUUAAUUUGAAAUGAGGAGCUAGAGGUGUACAUACCGGUUUAGUUUUGUCAUCCAUACCAAAUCUUUCUAGCACUUUCUUCAAAUAAGACUUUUGAGUCAACCAUACGCUCCCAUUCUUCUUGUCUCUACGAAUCUCCAUCCCAAGUAUUCUCUGUGCAUCACUCAAGUCUUUCAUCUCGAACUCAGAAGCCAACUGCUUUUUUAAUCUUUUGAUCUCAUCUCCAUUCUUUGAAGCUAUAAGCAUAUCGUCGACAUAGAGUAACAAAUAGAUGAAAGCUCCAUCUAGUAGUUUUCUAAAGUAAACACAAUGAUCGUGUUCACUUCUAGUGAAUUCUGCCCUUGUAUAAAUUGAUCAAAUCUUUUGUACCACUGCCUUGGCGAUUGCUUCAGUCCGUACAAAGAUUUAAUCAACCUACAUACAUGAUUCUCCUUUCCAGCAACUCUGAAACCACAAGGCUGAAUCAUAUACAUUUCUUCCUCCAAAUCUCCAUAUAAGAACACCGUCUUAACAUCCAAUUGAGCCAACUCUAACUCAUAUUCUGCAACUAAGGCAAGUAGGAUACGAAUGGAAGUAUGUUUUACAACUGAAGAGAAAACUUCAUUGUAGUCAAUAUCUUCCUUCUGAGCAAAACAUUUUGCCACGAGCUUUGCCUUGUAUCGAGGAGUUGAUUGAUUUAGAGAUCCUUGUUUUUUGGUGUAGACCUAUUUAUUACCAAUAACCUUUUUCCCCUUUGGUAACUUUACAAGUUCCCAAGUCUGGUUUUGAUGGAGAGAUUUCAUCUCUUCCUCCAUGGCUAACUUCCACUGAUCACUUGCACUGAUGCGUAAUGCUUCACCGAAAGUGUUGGGGAUGUCAUCAUCAAUAACUGGAAGUGCAUAGGCUACCACCAUAUCUUUAGUAACCUAUCCGAAUUUCUUUAUCUCUCUUCUUGGCCUCCUUGUUGCUAUAAAAUCAUCAUUAUCUACAUCAUCAAUUGUUUCUUCAUUUUGUGGGACAUCAGAAGAAACAACCUCUUCUUCAACUCUAGGUGUCACCUCCAUAAUUGAACUGAAACAACCCGCCCCGAACCCCCAGGGCGAGUCUAUCUAAACUCGUAUAAUCAAAUCGAUAUUAUUUAUGAUAUCUAAGAAUUCUAUUAAAAAUUCGGCAGAAUCUCCCUUAUAAAUAAAACAUCCCCAAACCUGCAAUUUACAAAACCAUACUCCCAAAAAUAAUUCAAUAUCCAUCCAACUCUCAUAACCAACUUCUCAAGUUAACAUAUCAAAUUUCAUCAAAAUCAUUCUAAUAUUAAAAUACAUGGGUUAUCCUUAAUUACAAAAUAUAAUAAAUCAAAAUUGUUAAAUCUACGACUCUUAGCACCAUCACGUGGCCACAAUUUCAAAACUAACAUUCGUUACUGGGUCAACUGAUGUACCUGCAAAUCUCCUGUGGGGGGAAAAAUAUAAUAAAAACGGGGUGAGUAUAAAACUCAGUGAGCUCAGUGAUUGGAUAAUAGUUUUUGGAAAAAUAAAUAAAUUUAUUUAAAAUGACUUAAUCUUUCCCAAAUCAAUUUCUCAAAUCAAUUUCAUCAAAAUAUCAUAAGAACUUACAUAAACUUAUUUAAUUCAAAUCAAUCACUGAAAUUCUAUAUUACAUAAAUCUACAUAGAAUCGAUGGAAUCAUAAUACUUAUCAUAUCAAAUACUGAAUACCAAAAACUAUCAUCAAACAAGUACCCAGAGGAAUGAUCUCAUCAUAUCCGGACCUCGACGGACGGGCAAUCAGGGAACCAUCAUGCCCCGGAGCUACAACAGAUAGAUGGGGAAAAUCUCAUCUCAUAUCUCAUGUAUCUCAACAUCUGUAUCUUUGUAAUCAUCAUACUGCAUGCAUAAGCCCCCAAAAGGCAAAAGCGCCCAAACACACGGUCCAAAGCCUCUAUGUGUGUUCAGACGGGCCCCAAAGGCGUCUAUCUCAUCUCAUCUGUAUCUCUGUAUUCAUCUCAUAUUAUCUGUAUCUCUGUAUCUAGAGGGGAAGGGUACUGUCCAAUGAUUUUCCAAACAACAUUUAUACUCAUGUACAUAAACAUAUAAUCACAUCUGAAAUCUCAUUUUCUUUCUAUGCAACAUAUCUCAAAUCUGCUCAAUUCUAAUAUCAUGCAUAAAAUCACUAAUCAAACUCAUUCUUAGUAACAAUAAAUAUCAACACAUAGAUAAAAAUCAAUUUUCUAGAAAAUCAUUAAAUCGAAGCAUCAAAUACUUAUUUAUCAAAACAUAAUGCACUGUAUCAUAAAAUCAGCAUAUACUAUGAAAAUAGAUUUUGCAUAUUCCACUCACAGUGAUGAUGUCCAGACUCGGUAUCAACAACGUUUGCGGUUUGAUUCUCGUUCGCAGAUCCUCCUAAUCAAGGAAACGCCAUAAUCAUUCUCCGUAAACUUGAAAUACAACUAAUUUUAUAUAAUAAAUCUGGAAACGAAUAUCUAUCAAAUACCCCCAACAUCAUUAUUUUACCAAAUUAUCCUCAGAAUCUUCAAUUACUAAAUGGUCCUCAAUUUAGAUCACAUAAAUAACCACAAUGUCAGAAAUUACGAAAUUACCCUCGGAGCAUAAAUUUACCAAAAUGUCCUUAACGACUUAAAUUACCGAAUUACCCUCGAAAUCUCAAAUUACCUCACUGCCCUAACUUAAAAUUACCAAAUUAUCCACUGAUUCCAUAAAUUAUAAAUUCACCCUAAAGUUUUAUGAAUUUACCGAAUUGCCCCUGCCGGUAAACGGUGACCGGACUUCAGUCAACGACGACGGGAAGCUUAGGUCUGAUAGUUUAGACCUCGGUGAGUCCAAUGGUGGUGGCCGUGAGUCCCCACGAGCGGUGCCGGCGGCGGAUCAAGCUUCCUAGGCCGUGAGCUUUCAAAGUGGCUGAUCGGCGGUAAUCCGGCCGUUUCGGGUGACGAGGUUGGUCGGAAAAUGAUGCUGGUAACGUGAGGAGUAGAAACCAACUGGAAGUGUGCCCAAACUCUGGCAAAAUCGACGGCGGCGAAAACGGGCCUUGGCCGCGAGUUUUCGAGCUUAAUCGCCAGCGUUUUGGUCGGUUUCCGGUGACGAGGACGGCGGGGUUAUGACGGUCGGCUUCCAAGCUUCAGAUCGGUACCAAGCUCGGCCGGUGAGGUGGCCAGAAUCGGGAGAUCCGUCCGGGUCAAUGUCGCGAGUCGGGUCGGGUUUGCGGGUCAAAAAUCGGGUCAAACACUCACUCUCUCUCUCUCUCGUGCCUCCUCUCUCUCCUUCCUUUCUAAAAAUAGUUUCCCCCCCUUUCCAUAUAAAAAAAAAACCGACUUCUUCUUCCUUUUUUUUUUCUUAAGCUUAAUACAAAUUAAACUAAUACCGGACCCGUGACGAAAAUAAAAUCCAACUAUUCGAACUUUUAAUCGCACUCAAAUUAUCUCGAUUUAAUGUCGUGACAAAUUUUAAAAUUAAUAACGAAGAGGAAAAAUUAAAUCAUACACUUAAUUAAGAAAAAUCAAAGUGCAUAUGUUACAUGAACCCUUAUUUAAUGUAGAACUAACUGGUACAUAUGGAGUUGCAUCAAACUCCACCCACUGUAAUACCUCUUUGGUCUUAUUCUCCACCUGUUGAGAAUUUGAAGCUUUCAUCAUUGAAGCUUCAUCAAAUGUGACAUCUCUUUUACACACAAACUUUUUGUCUUCGAGAUCCCAAAGCUUAAAGCUCUUUACUCCACCUUUGAAUCCUACAAAGAUAGCUUUACUAGCACGAGGAUCCACUUUACCAUCUUUGACAUGAUAAUAAGCUGAACACUCGAAUAUACGAAGGGAAUCAUAGUCUUGUGCAUGCUUUCCAGACCACAUUUUCAUAGGAGUUUUACCUCCAAUUGUAGCAGAAGGCAACCGGUUUACCAAGUGACUUGCGUAACUCACAGCUUCAACCCAAAACUUUUUAUCUAAACCAGCAUUAGAUAACAUACACCGUACUUUCUCCAGUAAAGUACGAUUCAUACGCUCAGCCACACCGUUCUGUUGCGGAGUAUGUCUCACCGUGAAAUAUCUUUUAAUACCCUCGUUCUGGCAUACUUGCAAGAAUGGAUCAGAAGUAUAUUCACCCCUAUUAUCAGAUCGUAAUACUUUGAUCUUUCUGCCAGUUUGAGUCUCCACCAAUUUCUUCCAUUUCACGAAAAUCUCUAGAACUUCAUCCUUUGCUCGCAUGGUGUACACCCACACACGUCUAGAGAAAUCAUCAACAAAUGUAACAAAAUAAUGGCUUCCACCAAUUGAUGCAGUCUUGGUUGGUCCCCAUACAUCACUAUGAACAUAUUCAAGGAUCUCACGAGUAUCGUGAUUAACUGUACCAAACUUGACCCUUGUUUUCUUGCCUACUACACAAUGCUCACAGAAAUUUAAUUUACAGGUUUUGGUACCUUUUAAGAGUCAGUGCCUCAUCAGAGUUUGCAAAGAUUUCUCGCCAGCAUCUCCCGAUCGUAAAUGCCAUAGCUUGGUGGUGUCACUGUGCGCCUCAACAAUAUUUGCUUCAUCAGUUGUACCUCCCUUUAUAUAGUACAAACUGUGACGUCGAACCCCUUGUAGACUCACCAUAGCCCCAUGUGUAAACUUCAUUGUGCCAUCUUCAAUGGUAACCUUGUAGCCUUUAGCUUCCAAAGCACCCACAUAAAUUAGAUUUUUCUUUAAAGCUGGAACAAAUCUAACCUCUUUGAGUUCUCUGACCAUUCCAUCAAACAUUUUGAGCCGAAUUGUUCCUAUCCCCAUUGUGCGACAAGGUUGAUCAUUCCCCAUCACAACUGCACCGGAUUCCAGAUCAUGAAAAUCCGUAAACCAUUCCUUAAUAGGACACAAAUGAUAGGUUGCUCCAAUAUCAAGUAUCCACUCGCUCGAACUAGCCACGUAUGCUGCAGGAGUAAUACUUAGUGAAUAAUCAAAGUCCUCAUCUUUCCGUGCCAUAUUUAUUGCUGCUGGUUUCUUCCCAUCUCUCUUUUGAGCCUUUGGACAAGCUUUCCUCCAAUGGCCCUUUUCAUGACAAAAGGCACACUCGUCUCGAGCUAUAUUUCUACUUCUCGAUUUGGAUCGAGAAUUCUUUCCACCACGCUUUUUCUUUUUCUCCAUCGCCCAAUCUCUGCUCACCAAAGCUUCAGACGAUGCUCGUUCAGAAUUUUUAUUAUUAUUCCGAAUCUCCAAGUUAGUCAAUGCUGUGCAAACAUCUUUGAAGAUGAUCACACUUUUCUCAUAUAUCAAGGUAGUCACAAAAUGGCUAUAUUCCUCUGGUAGUGAGUGUAACAGAAUCAUAGCCUUGACUUCAUCCUUAAUAUCUUCAUCAAGAUUCUUCAAAUCAGCAAGUAACUUUUCAAAUCUUGAGACAUGAUCGUAAAUUGACACCCCAUGCUUCAUUCGAAAGCCAUAUACUUGGCUCAUUGCAUGAAGGCGAUUUUUAGGACUUUUUAGCAAGUACUUCUCCUCCAAUGUACGCCACAAAGUCAUCGCACACUCCUCAUCCUUCACCAAGUAUUUCACCUCCUUAGUCAAACAAGAUCUGAUAUGACCACAUGCUUUUUUAUUCAUACAAUCCCAAAUUUCUUCAUCAUACAAGUGUCUUUUAUUUUUCAGAACAACAUCCAGAUCGAUUUGAAUAAGGGCGUCCAUAACUUCGCGCCUCCACAUGCCGAAGUUGAUUUUCCCAUCAAACUUUUCAACAUCGAUUUUCUGGCCUCCUAUAACAGGCGUUGAAUAGCGAUUUGACAAAUCUCGCCUCCCACCUGAAGUGUCUCCUGAAAUAGUCUCGGUAGAUCUCUCCCCAAUUCUGGAAGUUUCACCUUCUACCAUUUUCUCAACGAACUAUUUCCACUUGAAAAACAGUCUCUAUGAUGUUAAUUUCGCGUGAAUAAAUGCACUAGGAAAGUUCCCAGGAGACUGGACGGGAACUCAGUCCUAAUUAAAAACCAGAAUCCUUAGACUCUUAUCGCCUUUGUUGACAGAACUUUUCUAGACAUGCAAAAAUACACACUACUUACAAUAGACUGUCUCCCAAGUACAAAUGGUCGUCUCCACCGUAUUCGUGAACAGUACCAUAUACGUGAAUAGUACCGUAUACGUAAACAAUACCGUAUCCCCCAAGUACGAACCGUCGGCUCUGAUACCACUUGUUCUACCCGGAAUGCGGAAUCAAGCACACCAAAUAAUUAUAGAAAAAUAAAGGACACAAGAAUUACGUGGUUCAGUAAUUAAACCUACAUCCACGGAGGCAAAAAAUAAUAAUUGUAUUAUUAAUAAUUAAUAUAGUACAAAUAUUUGAGUAACGAAUCUCACUUCCCAGAAACUCAAAUAUACCCAGUACUCUCACACUCUGCAGGAAAGAUAAAUUCCCCAGACAUACUUCUCUCACUUCUCUCAAAAGCUUAGAAACUUAUAAGCUUAACAAUUUUGGGAUGAUAUGGAAUGAAGAAAUGCUCUCUAUUUAUAGGCUUGAAGCUAGUACUAUUCCACCUAACCCAAGUACUAUUUCACCUAACCCAAGCACUAUUCCACCUAACCCAUGCAAAUAUGUCAAUGGUGUCCAUUUGGCAAAUUUGAGAAAUUUACCAACUUUUUAUUUUUUCUUCAAUUGUUUGGUAGCUCUUUGAAAAAUUGCAUGCUUUCUUGAAUUUGCAUGCCACGUGCAUGAUUUUUCAACAAACAUGUACUUCCUUCAUUUAAAAGAUUAGUGUUUCUCUCUCUCUCAAUUUUUUUAAGAAAAAAAAUGAAAUGCCCCUUUUCGCAUUUUCCAGUUUCUCCAACAUACAGCGGGUCGAUGUGGAGUAACAGAUGAUUGAAUAUUUUCAUUUUAGUUCAAUUGUCAUUUCUUUUUUAAUCGGUAAAGUUUAAUCAUUUCUCUUAAAUCGACAACUUAUGCAGGGCCAUAUCAACCGUCCAUGACAUUUUUAUUACAGCGAUGUCUUUGUACUUUGUGUUUUGGUCGGAUCUCAGAGUUUGUGCAUAGCACACUUGGUUCUACUGUUUGUUUGUCCCUUCACAGGCAUUUCGAUAAACUGUUAUUUUUGUUCUUUGGAAGUGAAUAUUUUCAGCAACUAGAACUCCGAAGCAUCUUGAAUGAUCCAUUUUAUGAUUCUCAAUACCUAUAAAAGAAUGUCAUAGAAAACAGUUUCCAAAGCAAGUUGCAUGUGUUUUGAAUUUGUCUUUGCAAGCCACUAGUUGCUUGGAGCACACUGUUAGCCUAUCGUGAUCCCAACCACUUUUUUGGAUAGACAAUUGUGCAUCCAUAUGAUCUGGACUAAACUAGUUUCUAAUAAAUAAUUGCCCAAGGAUUUAGUCUCAGUGUUACAGCCUAGUCUUUGUUGUCAAUACUCUUUCCCCUGUCGUGGAUGAGCGCCAUAACAGCUUCUUAAUGUUUUCCAGUGGCUUUUGCACGGUUGUUGUUUCCUUCUGAAGCUAGAGUAGCUACGGAUAGAGCGGAUGCAGAUGCCACCAAUUUUUAUGAUGGCCUUUCAGCAUCAAAAUCAAAAGGAUCAAGUGGGAACUUAAAGGAGGUUUAUUAGAAUGAAACACCCUCUAUGCAAGCCAAGAGACUCCAAUUAAGACUGCAAGCUCUGCUUAAAACAGGUAUUUAUCUCAACAAAAUGUUAGAACCUUUGCACCACUGGAGACAUUUUCUUCGAGCAUUUACCGGACUUUCUAUGAUUGCAGUGUAGACGGGUCGACGCUACUUCCCUCGUACUCGUUGCUCGGAAGUGGUUGAUAAGUUUCUGGAUUGUGAUUGGUCCGAUGCUUCCUUCCUCGAAAAGGGUACUCCUGAAGAGCAGAAACUCAAAAGGACACGCUUCAUGGAACUCAAAGAAGACGUGAAGAAGGCAUUUUACAAGGACAUGGCUGAGAAAAAUCGUUCAGGUUUGUCGUCAUCCACGUCAUCGUCAUCUUCUCCAAAGGAAGGAGUAAAGUGUAAGGGUAGGAAAAGGUGAUGCUUAGCUGCUUGUCUUUGUAUUCAUUUAUAGGAAACUAAGAGAGUUUUACUGAGUUUGAUUGUUACUUGUGGAGAGAUACUCUUAGAGCCUAUGUUAUGGCUAUGUUGUAAAAUAGCAGAGGAACUUCAAGCUUGCAUUGUUGUAUUUUCCCAGGUAUUUGGAAUGUAAUAUACUAAAUGACAGAAUUUUCUAAUUUUAGAGGGGAAAAAUAUGUCAGUGAAUUAUUUGUUUAUUUUAUCUGUUUAAAUCACUUUAUAAUAUAGCUUUUUUUUUCAAAAAAAAAAAAUCUCCAUAUCUUCAUCUGAAAACUCGAGUCAUGUGUAACUUCUUUCAGGGAGAAAAAGGGGGGAAAGAAAAGGCAUUUGUACCUGUAUUUUACAGUACUGACUCUCAUACAGAAAUUGGUUGAGAUGACAUUAAUGUUCUUCGAAAUAGAUGAAUAUGCAGAAUUUUCAUCGAAAUUGAAAUUAGAAAUGGAUGGAUAUGAAUUAUAUAUAUGUAGAACUUUUUAACAGAAUUUUUAUCUAAAAAUUUGUUGCUCAUUACCCUCCCGAAGAAAUAUAAAAUUUUCAAUUGUAGAUAUUAAAUUUUAAAUUUAUAAUAUAAUAAAUGUGACUUGAGGUGCACAUCACCCAUAUAAUAAUAAUUAAGAAAAGAAAAUACAAAAUUUGUAAAUUACCAAUUUUUUAAAUUUAAUUAAUUUUAUACCCAAAUUCUCAUGCUCAACGGCCGCUAGAAUUGGCUAUUGUAAUUUUGCCAUCCUCAUUAUUCACUGGCCAUUUUUGGACCACAACAUAAUAAAAAUAGCAUUGAUUAAUACUAAUAAAUUUCUUUUGAUUAUUUUGUUGUGUGAUGAUCUAGUGAGUACAAGUGUCCAUCAUAGCACCUGAACUGCUGAACAUGUGGUAACAUUCUGCGAUUCUCUAUAAAAUAGUAUUUAAAUUGUGUAUUAACUAGACAGUUCUAUAUAGACAAUUGUCCACUAAAUCAUUACUUUAUUUUGUAUAUAUUUAUGAUAAUUGUUGAAGAAAAAUGUAAAGUGAGAUUAAUGAACAUUAAUGAAUGUGGGAAAUUAACACAACUAGGAUUUAUGAUGAAAUAAUUUUAUGUCAAAUGAGUGAGUGAAUGGAUGUUAAAAAACUUGUAAUAUAUAUUUUUUGAAUUGUUAUAUAAACAAGUUCAUCACUAACAAUAAAUUGAAUUAUGAAUUGUUUAAUAAUUCAAAAUCUCAUUCACCCUUCAGUGUUUAUAGUAUUUUUUAGAAUACAAAAUUGUAAACAACCUCACCCUUAAAUGAUAUAAUGAUAAAAUAAUUUUAUGUCAAAUGAGUGUAAGUGAAUGGAUGUUAAAAAACUUGUAACAUAUAUUUUCUGAAUUGUUAUAUAUGCAAGUUUGUCACUAACAGGAAAUUGAAUUAUUAAUAUUUUAAUAAUUCAAAAUCUCAUUCAACCAUCGGUGUUUAUAAUUUUUUUGAGAGUACAAAAUUAUAAACAACCUCAUCUUUAAUAAUAUAAUGUUAAACCUUUUCAAAAAUUUAUUCCAUUAUAGUUGUCUUAGUCAGUUAUACUUAUUCCAAAUUGAAGAUAAAAAUAGUACUUCAUAUGUCAUACAUUACUUAAAGAAAUUUUUUUAUCAACUUAUGAGCUAGAGAAAGAAUGCAAUAAAUUACGUCUAAAAUUGUAAAAUUAAUCAAUCACUAAAUAAAUAUAAUGUUAUAUGUGUAUGUGUAUAUAUUACACAAACUCUGAAUCUCAUGAGCUAUCUUCGGAUGAUGUAUCAUACUCAAAAAUCUAUUUUUGCUAAUGAUUAUACUAACAUUUAAAGGUCUCUCUAAGCUACAUUGUAAUUCCAAUUCUUGUGGCUGCCUUCCAUUGCCAACUGAACCAGCUCCGCUCUCCCUGCAUCCAGAGAGUGGUAAGGUAAAAUCUUGAUAAUGUCUGUCUCGAGAAAGAGCUUCCUGAUGAAGUUUCAAGUGAAAUCAAAUCACUCCGUGUCAAAUCUAACCAGGAGUGUGAAGCGAAUAUAGCAGAAGUGGAUCCUAUGCAUGCAACAAGAGUCAGAGGAAUCCACGAGGCACUGGACUCUUAUGACUUUGAACUGUUGAAGCUUCUUCUGGAUGAAUCUAAUGUCACUUUGGAUGAUGCUUAUGCUCUGCACUAUGCUGCUGCCUACUGCAGCCCUAAGGUUUUUAAGGAAGUGCUCAAUAUGGACUCGGCUGGUCUCAAUCUUAAGGAUGCAAGAGGACAUACGGUGCUUCAUGUGGCUGCAAGGCGUAAGGAGCCAGCAGUGCUGGUGACUCUGCUGAGCAAGGGAGGAUGCGCAUCAGAAACUACAUCAGAUGGGCAAACAGCUGUGGCAAUCUGUCGGAGAAUGACAAGGAGAAAGGAUUAUAUUGAAGCUACAAAGCAAGGGCAGGAAACUAACAAAGACCGGUUAUGCAUUGAUGUCCUUGAGAGAGAGAUGAGAAGGAACUCCAUGUCUGGGAACUUGGCACUGUCAUCAGAGGUGAUGGCUGAUGAUUUCCAAAUGAAGCUGAACUAUCUGGAAAAUAGAGGUGAUAUUUCUUUACUGGUAUUAGUUCAUCACCUUCUCAGAGUUUGUGCUAUGCACACUUCUUUCUACUGUUUGUUUGUUCCUUCAUCUUAGCAUCUCAAACAUUGCUGUAAAUGGGAUAACUACACAGUCUACACUUGUGCUAGCAUCAUGACUUUUUGAUGAACUGUUAUUUUUGUUAUUUGGAAGUGAAUAUUUUCAGCAACUAGAACUCCGAAGCAUCUGGAAUGAUCCAUUUUAUCAUUCUCGGUACCUAUAGCAGAAUGUAAUGGAAAACAGUUUCCAGAACAAAUCGCAUUUGUUUUUGGAAGCCAGUAAUUGCUUGUGGCAAACUGUUAGCCAGCCAUAAUUCCAUCCACUAUCUUGGAUAGGCAAUUGUGUAUCCGUAUGUUCUGGGCAUGGGGGUUUCGACUGAACUAGUUUUAAUAAAUAAUUGCACAAUGAUUUAGUCUCAGUGUUACAGCCCAGUCUUUGUUGUCAAUACUCCCCCCCCCCCCCCCCCCCCCCCAAAAAAAAAAAAAAAAUUGAGUUACGAAUAAAUUUUUCCUAUUAUGUAGGAGGGCCAUAAAAGUUUUUAAAUUUUAUCCAGUUUUUUUUGAGCGGUGGCUGUUUCCUUCUGAAGCUAUAAUAGCUAUGGACAUAGCAGAUGCAGAUGCCACCAAUUUUUGUACUGGCCUUUCAGCAUCAAAAUCAAAAGGAUCAAGUGGGAACUUAAAGGAGGUUGAUUUGAAUGAAACACCCUCUAUGCAAGCCAAGAGACUGUAGGCUCUGCUUAAAACAGGUAUUUAUAUACCUUAUUAGUUUUUGUAUCCAAAGAGAGAGGUUAAUUUUUAUUACAUUGAUAUCUCAACAAAAUGGUCUUUUCUUAGAGCAUUUACUGAACUUUCUAUGAUUGCAGUCGAGACGGGUCGACGCUACUUCCCUCACUCCUCCAAAGUCAUUGAGGAGUUUAUGAAUUGUGAUUGGUCUGAUGCUUCUCUUCUGGAAUUUGGUACUCCGGAAGCGCAGAAACUUAAAAGGGCUUGCUUCCACGUGCGGAAGGCAUUUUGCCAGGACAUGGCUUCUGACAAUCGUUCAGGGCCGUCAUCAUCGUCAUCGGCAUUCUUCGUUCCUUAAAAAAAUCAAGAAAAAUUUAGAAAGUAGUGAGAGAUGGAGAAAUAGAGUGAUUAUAUUCACAAAUAUAAUGUGUUUAGUGCAACAAUACAAACUAAUAAAUAAUAAUUUAUGAGAUUAGUUUAUAGAAUCUUACAUAUAAAAUUAUAUCCUCUGAAUAAAAAUCUUCACAGCUCUUUUGACUUCUCAUUUAGAUGCCCUUUCUAAGAUCACUCCAUUUUCUAGGAUCACUCCAUUUUAAUAGGAAGAAUUAGCGUAUCUCCACUUUUCUCCCCCGCCGUUUGUAUACCGUUUGUUACUGUUAAUGGACGAAGCUACAAGUCUUCUCUUUCAUCAAAUCGAUCCAUCACAAAUACAAGUCUGCUGCACCCCACCAAAAACACACAUACUCCAUCUCUAAAUACUUUGAAGAUAAACAAAUCAACCGUAAUCCUGCAACUUUAUCUCAGAGAAUCGGAUAAGAAAAGAACAGGCAAUGAAUCAACGGUAUUGGCGCCGAGUGAGUGUCGCCUGCGGUCGGCGUUAGAGGCGACUGUCACUCAAUCGCGUACAAGGUUAGUCUUUGAAAAAACUCUUUGCAUGUUAGAAAUCAGUGAUUAGGCAUUAUUUUGAUAUUUAAAAAUGAAAAUGGGUUUAUUAGUUUGUCGAAGAAUCUGCUUUGUUGCCGGUGUUGUUUGUCGAUUAAAAUGAAAAUGGGUUUGUUGAUGUGUUGAAGAAGUUGCUCUACUGCUGGUGGUUUUUUUAUUAAUUAAAAUGAAAAUGGGUUUGUUAAUUUAUUUAAGCAGCUGCUGGCAUUGAUGAACUUAUGAGCUAAUAGUAUUGUUUGAUCAAGCUUGUGUUCUUAAUAGUGGAGUUGAUAUUCUUAAAAUGAAUUUAUGAUUAUGAGAAUAUGAAAAUUGAACGGCAUCGUAGAGAUCUGGAUUAAUCACCAUCGCGUAUGUUUCUAAAUAAAGGAAUGAGCAGCAAUCGAUUUGAAAGUUAAGACUUUAGGAAUAUGUAUGUGCAACUGAAUGAAUUAUCAGUUGCUAUCUUGUAAGUCAAUACUAGCAUAUUCCUUAAUGGCAAGUGAAGCUAUUUUAUGUGUAUUGCUGCCUAUCAAAAUGUUUAUGUUUGAAGCUAUCUCCUUUUAGGAAAUUGAAUGCUUCUGUGAGUUCUCUGAUAAGGGCUAUACAACCAGCUCUAACAGAUUCCUUCAUGUGCAUUAAUUAGCUUAAUGAUUUAUUGACCUAUAUCCAAUGUCUAUUCUCCUUUUCUGUAGCUGUCUAGCUUUAUGAGGGUGUGAAGUGAACUUUUGUUUUAUGUUUCAGGACUUGGGAUUAGAGUGUAUAACAUUCAAUAUCUUUUUAUCAAAGAACUGAUAUAUGUUAAUGUAGUGCGAUCUGGUCUUUAUUAGCUUCUUGAUUUGCCAGGAUGUUUGACAACCAUCUUUGACUACGAUUGCCAACAUAUAAGCUGCUACAUAUUGUGUCUCAGGAAUCACAACAAAUUAUUAUCAUAAUAUGGUGAUUUUGAAUCCAAAACUUGGUAGUGUCAAGAAAAUAGACCCCAUGUUUAUUUAUCUUCAUGUUUUGUAUGCGGCUGCAAUAGACUAUUAUAAGUUACUUUUAGUUUUAUCAAGUUUUUUUUCCCCUUAAAUUUCAGUUAUUUCAGCGGCUUCUUUUAAGUGAGUUAAUAGUGUUGUUAGGUUAAACUAAGUUUGGCUUCAUAAGAUUCAUAGUAGAGUGUAAAACUGGGUACAAUUUUGGGUUAAGACAAGUCAAAAGUCUUCUCAAGUAAUUGUUCUGCUUACUGAUUUGGUAAUUGCAACAUUGCUAAAUAGUUCAAUUUGUCCUUUUUUUUUGUUGAAUUUAUUGUAUGUCAUAUUACUUCAUUUAAUUAUUUUCUCAGAUCUUGUAGGUGAAAAUUUCAGCUUCAAAGGCCAAGCUAAUCAUCCAGCAAUUCAGUGAAACCAAGACACAGUGGCUCAUAAAUUGUUGUUGGCGAUCCAGCCAUUCGGGUGCUUGCCAGUCCUAGACGAGAGAACUUUCAACGCGGCGCAUAAAUUGUUGUUGAUCUGUUUUAUAUAUUUUGACCUUUGUGAUUUGUGAAUACAUGGUUUGAUUCCAGUGUUUACAACUUUGAUACUGUGUAUAACUUGAGAAGCAAAUGAAACAAAUAGGAAAUGUGUUUUUAUUUUUUUUAUUCUAUCUAUCUAUUUAUUUUUUGUUUGGAAAUGUAACAAUUUAUAGCUGGCAAAGUAAUAGAGUUGUAUACUUGUAUUUAAUUUAUUAUUAUUAAUUUUAAUGAAUCGGUAAUGUCAUUGUCCAUGGUGUUUUGUCAUUUCGAAAGUACUUAACCCUUCCACGCCAAGGCACAUCACAGCAGCCGAAAAUUUGAGCUUUCAGUUCUUGAUUUUAGCGUGAGGGGUAUCUUUGUCUUUUCAGUAGUCAACAUACGGUCAACAAAACAGUCUACAAACAAUCGGGGGUAAAAUCGGAUAUACGGUGAUACUUUCUAUCAUAGUGGCGAUACGCCAAACCUCAGGGGAGGAAACUGUAAAUUACCCCUUCGCGACCUGUGAACUUGGGUCAAAGCUUUCAUCUUUAAAGCUAAUAGGUAGAUCGCGAUUCAAGCUUCAGUUAUAACUUAUAAGCAUUUCAUUGUGAUUGAUAGUAUUCUCUCUUGAUAUAUAUAUAUAUAUAUUCACUUAAGCCGCUUACCAAUCCUUCUAAAAGCUUAAGCUGUUAGGCGAAGCACUACUUUAUACUUAAAAACACCCGAACCACGAGUAACGUCUACACAUUUAGUGCCACAUCACCCACGUGCGUGGGAUAGAGCCACCACAAGGGUGCGGGCCCCUAACACACGUAGUCUGGAUAUACCUUAAGCCCUGGUUUUAUAUAUAUAUAUAUAUAUAUAUAUAUAUAUAGAUUCAGUUUGAAUAUGGUUCUUGAUGGUAUCAUGGAAAAUGCGAACGAAAAGUCAGCAUCUUUGAGUUUUGUCUCAUCAUAUCUGACUUGUUGGUCCACUAAUCAAUCAACAGGCACUUGUGAUCUUGAUAAUUUGAACUUAAGGAUGCAAAGCACCAAUCCCGAAGAGACAUGGCUUGAAGCUGAGAUUGUUGUUGAGGGCAAAUCAGUGGCGGUUAAUCGCAGCGUAUUGUCUGAGCUCAGUCAAUUUUUUCGUCGGCUUUUUAAUUUGAGAAAUGAUGGUUCUGUCAGUGAGGGGAAACCCAAGUAUCUUUUGACUGAUUUGGUGCCUCAUGGGAAGGUUGGGUAUGAAGCUUUCAAUGAUAUCCUGCAUCGUCUUUACACUGGGAAGCUUAAGGCACCUCCUCCAGAAGUGUCCGCGUGUGUUGAUGAUGCUUGUUCUCAUGAUGCUUGCCCUCCUGCUAUUAAUUAUGCUAUUGAGUUGAUGUAUGCUUCCGCUGCUUUUCAGAUGAAAGAACUCGUUUUUCUUUUGCAGGUAAUUGUGCUUCCCUGCUAUUUGUAUUGCUUAAAUUUAUGCUUCUUGGUAUAGUUUUAACAUAUAUGGGAUUGAAAUCAAUUUCAGUUGUGAAGCAACUUCGGUGGUUCCCAAUAUUAGGCAUUGUAGUAGAUCCAAAAUUAGCUUGUUAAGAAGUGUAGAUACCGUAGAGCCCAAAACUUAGUCUUAUCUUGCAAGAGUCUGUUGUUUUAUUUUGAAAGAGACAAAAGUGAUGAUGAUGGGCAGCGAACUAAAGGAAUCAAUGCUUGCUGACACUGACUCCCAAGAAUGAUAAAAACUAACCAAAAAGGUAUAUAGAUUACAUGAGUCUGAAUUUGAUAAGUGCACCUAUCCUAUCACAAAAGCUUUUGCGUUGAGUUUCUAACCAAUGAAAAUUGUCACUUCUGUCUGUAGGCUUCAUAGAUUUGUUCAAGCCUUCAAGGAUGUCUGGCUGUUACUUACCGUCCAACAAUGGUGCUACAUUUCUAGUGAAUGAUAUGUUAUUCUACAUCUGUAAAUUGCAACUUUGACAAACUUCGCCUUUCCUUUGUUGAUUCACUCGUCUCACUUUUAUUAAAUUGCCCGAUUAUGAAAUGGUCUAUUGGAGACUAGCAUUGGAAGGUUUCUUCUGGAAAAAAUUUUACUUGACCACCAAUUUUCAUUUGGGUGGGUGUCAGUUCAUGCUCUGGCUUGACUGUUCUGUUAUUUAGGUUGUUUUAUCCGUAUUUUCUUCACUCACUUGAUGGUUAGUUCUCUCAUGCUUUCAAGCUCUCAACAGUGAAUGCGAGAGAUUCUCUUUUUUCCCGUCCAGGCUAUAACCUAGCAAAUUGUUAAUGCUGUAGAAUAACAUCUUGUGCAGGCGAGCUUAUGUCUCUGAACAUUGGUCCAUCGGCAUUAAGGUUUAAUAAGCAUGACACUGAACUUCCCCCUCAUUAUUAUUUUCCUGCACAGAUUAUCCUCUUUAAGUAUUUGAAUUUUGAAUAUCUUAUUCUGAAUCAAAACCCUAUCUGUGCUUGUAGCAUUUUAUAUAUGCUUUAUGAUGUUUACCAAUAAUUACCCACUAUGGGGUAUUUGAAUUUUGAAUAUAUUAUUCUGAAUCAAAACUCUAUCUGUCCGUGUAUCUUUGGCUUCGGAGCAUGGUUGAGAAGGCUCUCGUGGAAGAUGUAAUCCCAAUUCUCGUGGCUGCCUUGCAUUGCCAACUGAACCAACUCCGUUCUGUCUGCAUCCAGAGAAUUGCAAAGUCAAAUCUUGACAAUGUUUGUCUCGAGAAAGAGCUUCCUGAUGAAGUUUCAAGUGAAAUCAAAUCACUCCGUGUCAAAUCUAACCAGGAGUCUGAAGCUAACACAAAAGAAGUGGAUCCUUUGCGUGAAAAAACAGUCAGAAGAAUCCACAAGGCUCUGGACACUGAUGAUUUUGAACUGUUGACGCUUCUUCUGGAUGUAUCUAAUGUCACUCUGGAUGAUGCUUACGCUCUGCACUAUGCUGCUGCCUACUGCAACCCUAAGGUUUUUAAGGAAGUGCUCAAUAUGGACUUGGCUGGUCUCAAUCUUAAGGAUGCAAGAGGACGUACGGUGCUUCAUGUGGCUGCAAGGCGUAAUGAGCCAGAAGUGAUGGUGACUCUGCUGAGCAAGGGAGCAUGCGCAUCAGAAACUACAUCAGAUUGGCAAACAGCUGUAGCAAUCUGUCGGAGAGUGACAAGGCGAAAGGAUUGUAUUGAAGCUACAAAGCAGGGGCAGGAAACUAACAAAGACCAGUUAUGCAUUGACGUCCUUGAGAGAGAGAUGAGAAGGCACUCCAUGUCUGAGAACUUGGCAAUGUCAUCAGAGGUGAUGGAUGAUGAUUUCCAAAGGAAGCUGAACUACCUGGAAAAAAAAGGUGAUAUUUCUUUACUGGUAUUAGUUCAUCACCUUCUCAGAGUUUGUGCAUAGCACACUUCUUUCUACUGUUUGUUUGUCCCUUCAUAUGGAAAAUAGAGGUGAUAUUCCUUUACUGGUAUUAGUAAAUCAUCUUCUCAAGAGUUUGUGAGUCCCUUCAUUUUAACAUCUCAAACACACAUGCGCUCAUUGCUUGGGGCACACUGUUGGCCAGUCAUGUGAUUUGAUCCCCUUUUUUGGAAUGGAGAAUUCUGAAUCCAUCUGAUCUAGGCUUCGUGGUUUGCACUGAACUGGUUUUUGAUGAAUAAUUGCACAAGACUUUGUCAUCAAAACUUUCUUGUUUUUUGCCCCAAAAGUAAUGAGGUACAAAAAAAUUUAUGCCUAUCCUGGAUGAGUGCCAUAACAGCUUCUUAAUAUUUUGCAGUGGCAUUUGUACGGUUGUUUCCUUCAGAAGCUAGAGUAGCUAUGGAAAUAGCAGGUGCAGAUACCGCGACUGGCCUUUCAGCAUUAGGUCAGAAAGGACGCCAAUUGAGACUGCUAACUUUGCUUAAAACAGGUAUUUAUAUACUUUAUUAACUUUUGCACCUUUCUAUUUACUGAUUAUCUUUAUAAUUAACUAAUACAUGUAUCCAGGUUUCUCCUUCCAAUUGGAAUUUCUUUAUAGUGCUCUGUUAGGUGUAAUCAGAUGUAUCAAAAGAGAACGGGUAAUUGUUAGUACAUUGAUGUCUCAACAAAAUGGUAGAACCUUUCUUUAUACCACUAAGACAUUUGUUGCAGGUAUGCCUACAUAAUCAGUGUCCUUCAAAACUUUCAAAGAGUUAGCAAUGUCUAACCCCUGAAACACUAAAUCUCACGGGAUCAACUCUUUACCUCUAGACCGAAGGUGUGACACCCAGACCCAAUUAGGGCUUAGAACACGUAUCGAAUCUGAGUGAAACUAAACGCCUGUAAAUCCAAAUCUCCAAAAUAUCAAAAAGUCAUCUACUUUCUCUUUUCAUGUAUUUCACAAAAUUUUGAAAAAUUCAUUCUCAAUCAAAAACUAUGCACAGCUAAUUAUUCAGCAUAUCAGCAUAGAGCAAUACUUCCUCAUAAGCAAAUAAAUCUUACAAUCCUUCUUACAUGAUUUGAAAAAAAUACUAAUAGAAGUCUUCUAGAUACAAACAUAAACAGGAUUCAACUGUUUAAAACUAUGCCAAAACACAAGCUUCAAUCAGUAAUACAUACAACUAAUUAUUAAAGACAUCUAGCCAGAAACCUUACGAAAGCUCAAUCCUUCCGAAGCAUUCUUCAAAUUAAUAAUUGCUACCAUCUGUGAAAAAUAAUUGAUAAGGAGUCAGCUGUGAACUCAAUCAGUAGAAACAUUCGUAACGAACAAAAAGAAUUCUUUGUGCAAUAUUUUCAGAAAAUUCAUUUAACCUUUCAAAUAAAACAGAGUAAUUUUUCUAAGGCAGUCAGGAUUUAUAUAAAACAUAAACGUUUCAGACAGAAGCUUUUUGGAAUGUAAAUUUUGCUUCUUUAAACAGUAAGUUAUACAUUAGUUUGAUUUUAAAGGGAGGUUAUUGGGAAGUUAAAAUUGGCAGUUGUGGGAAAAGGGUAAUAGCAGUUAUAAAAUCUCUUUUAAAGCAAAUUCAAAUCAGGUUUCAAAUUUUAGGAGUACUUAAUUCAAUAAAAUAAGGAAUAAAUAAAGCUUUCAUUGAAACAAAACUAAGUAAAUUCAUUUAAAGCAAAAAAAGGAUGCGAGCAUUACGAUGGGUUCUUAUGUUUACCCGCAGUCAGACAUCUGGGACCUUGUUAUUUGGAGACAAGACUUGAUUGUGCCAUGUUUUCUGCAGCUAGACAUCUGUGGAUAAGAGAACCCUAAGCCUAUUGAGAAUAAAUUCCGUAAUCCAAGACUCUUCAGUUCUUUCAUUUGUGGCUAAUUAUUUAUAAAAUUUGCGAAUUUCAUGCCCCAUGCCCCUUGCAAAAUGUAUUUUAUAUCCUUAAGUUGCCAGUUGUUGAACUGAAAUAAUAAAAAGUGGAAAACAGACUUAAUGCCGAUAGCAUUUCUUAAGAAAAACUUGGGAUGUUUAUAAUUUUCUUAGAGCAUUUGCUGAACUUUAUGUGAUUGCAGUCGAGACGGGUGACCGCUACUUCCCUCAUUGCUCACAAGUGGUUGAUGACUUUUUGGGUGUUUAUGACUUUUUGGGUGUUAAUGACUUUUUGGAUGCGUCCCUCCUAGAAAAGAGUACUCUUGAAGAGCAGAAACUUAAAAUAGACAUGCAGAAGGCACUCUGCAUGGACGUGGCUUAUCACCGUCGUUUAGGGCUGCCAUCAUCCUGGCCGGCAUUUUACCAGUACAUGGCUGGGAGCAAUCAGUCGGCAUUUUACAAGUACGUGGCUGAGAGCAAUCGUUCAGGAAUGUCGACAUCCUCGGCAGCGAGCAAUUAAGCAUAACCUUUCCCUAAAAGCUAUAUUUGACUCCUGGAAAACUAAAGGAGUUGAGUGAGCUCGAUUGGUAUUUGUAGUUUCUUUU